This 736-nucleotide long non-coding RNA is filed under the name Gossypium barbadense (sea-island cotton). RNAcentral's name for it is "long non-coding RNA (GBAR_LNC010127)". The record is from RNAcentral. Lineage: Eukaryota; Viridiplantae; Streptophyta; Magnoliopsida; Malvales; Malvaceae.
AUGCCCACGCGCCCACGCCAACGCCAACGCCGCCAUGUGUGGUGGCUAGAAUUCGAAAAGCCUCGACUUUCCGAUGCGAUUCCAACAGUAAGCUCGUUUUUUAUUUAUUUUUAUAAUAUUUGCAUGCUAUUCAGAGAAAGGAAAAAAUAUAUCACCUCUACUCUCGAUUGACUGUUGGUACUGUAACUUUGUAAAAACUUAUGCUUUUUAUUCAAUCUUUUUGUGUGCUUUCCAAAACUGUCAGAAUCCCCAUUAAUAUCUUAUUUGACUUAUGCUUUUAUAGCCACUAUUUACAACAUAUUUUGGGGAGAAAUCUUUUAUUUCUUCCCAUUUUUGUUUAUUUACUGCUGUUUCUUUCUCUUUUUGCAGGUAUUCGUGAGGACGGUGUAGCACCGGCGUUGAUUUGGCCGUAAACCACGGCCUGAUUCGAAGCCUGCAAUCUCAGCUCGAACAGGCGCGUUGAUUGCAGCGUGAUUCGGGGCCAGAAUCCCAGGGUGAAACGAAAAGACGCGACAGUUGGGAUUUUGGCAGCUGGAACAUCGCGAGACAAAUCGACAUCUGAUUGCGGCGCAAACCCUAACUAGGGUUCCAUGAUGCUGAAGACAGAUUGGGCCGAUUAAGUUUUAGGUUUAGAGUAUCAAGGGUAGGGUGUAAAUGGGUCUGCUGGGUAUUUUAAGUUUUGGGCCUACGGGCUAUUGGUAUUUGGGCUCUGUAUACGGACUGUUUAAAUAAAUAA